CGUGAUGGGGUGGCCGCAAGGCUGGAAGCAACUGAUUUCACACUGUCAAGAAAAGCCGCUAGCGAGACCGUAGGUGCCCGUACCGCAAACCGACACAGGUAGAUGAGGAGAGAAUCCUAAGGUGAGCGAGAGAACUAUUGUUAAGGAACUCGGCAAAAUAACCCCGUAACUUCGGGAGAAGGGGUGCUCCGGAAACGGAGCCGCAGUGAAAAGUCCCAGGCGACUGUUUACCAAAAACACAGGUCUCUGCGAAAGCGAAAGCUGAAGUAUAGGGGCUGACGCCUGCCCGGUGCUGGAAGGUUAAGGGGAUGUGUUAGGGCAACCGAAGCACUGAACUUAAGCCCCAGUAAACGGCGGCCGUAACGAUAACGGUCCUAAGGUAGCGAAAUUCCUUGUCGGGUAAGUUCCGACCGCACGAAAGGCGUAACGAUCUGGGAACUGUCUCAACAAUGGACUCGGUGAAAUUGUAGUACCGGUAAAGAUGCCGGUUACCCGCAGCAGGACGGAAAGACCCCAUGGAGCUUUACUGUAGCUUGAUAUUGAGAUUCUGCGUUGCAUGUACAGGAUAGGUGGGAGACUGCGAGGUAAGUACGCCAGUAUUUACGGAGUCACCGUUGGGAUACCACCCUUGUAACGUUGAGUUUCUAACAUUGCGCCGUGAUCCGGCGCAUGGACAGUGUCAGGUGGGCAGUUUGACUGGGGCGGUCGCCUCCUAAAGAGUAACGGAGGCGCCCAAAGGUUCCCUCAGUGCGGUCGGAAAUCGCGCGAAGAGUGUAAAGGCAGAAGGGAGCUUGACUGCGAGACAGACAAGUCGAGCAGGGACGAAAGUCGGGCUUAGUGAUCCGGUGGUUCCGCGUGGAAGGGCCAUCGCUCAACGGAUAAAGCUACCCUGGGGAUAACAGGCUGAUACCGCCCAAGAGUUCACAUCGACGGCGGUGUUUGGCACCUCGAUGUCGGCUCGUCUCAUCCUGGGGCUGAAGUAGGUCCCAAGGGUUGGGCUGUUCGCCCAUUAAAGAGGUACGCGAGCUGGGUUCAGAACGUCGUGAGACAGUUCGGUCCCUAUCCGCUGUGGGCGUUGGAGAUUUGAGUGGAGCUGUUCCUAGUACGAGAGGACCGGGAUGGACGUAGCUCUGGUGCACCAGUUGUUCUGCCAAGGGCAUCGCUGGGUAGCCUCCUACGGACGGGAUAAGCGCUGAAAGCAUCUAAGUGCGAAGCCCCCCACGAGAAAAGAUCUCCUCC
This 1239-nucleotide ribosomal RNA is filed under the name metagenome. RNAcentral describes it as "bacterial LSU rRNA". It matches the Rfam family "Bacterial large subunit ribosomal RNA", at positions 1562 to 2817 of the family's 2925-position model. The record is from RNAcentral.